UAAAUAGAUAUUUUUUUAUAGAUUUAAGAUUGUUUCAUUGUAUGUCAUUGAUACUACUAAGACUAUGUCUAUUGUUGUUAUGAAUAGGUACUUAUAGUUAAAAAUUAGUUAAGUUGUUUGUAUAAUGUAAAGAAUUGCAACCUUAAUUGCUAGAUAAACGUUACUAUAGUUAAAUGUGUGCUUACCUUAUAUAAAGUUUUACUACUGAUUAAGAUUUAGUAAAAUGCUGUUAUAUACUUACAUACUUGAUUAGCAUUUAAGAUGCAGUUAAAUAAUAUUUUGUUAAAUUAAAGUAUAUGCCUUACAUGUGUGUUUACUGUUGAAAUUAGUUACAUUUAGGUGCAUAAUCGUUAUAGUUAGAUUUACUAUUAUAUACUUAAGUACUCUUCUAUAUGGUUAUAGUAGGUAUUCAUAAAAUAUGUUGGUUAGGUAAAUACAUAAAUUAAAAACGGUCAGCUUUGUUUAUAUAAACUUUAUUUUCAUAACUUGUUGUUCGAUAGGUAUCUUUCAAGUUAGAGUUGACAUAAUAUCUAAUGUACAAAAAAUGCCUAAGUAAAUACUAUGUAAACUAUGUUAGGUAUAAGUGUUUAAGCAUGAUUGCACUUUAUUUGGUCAUACAAAUGUUAUCUCUUGAGUUAAUUUAUCGUUUGCUCUUUCUUGGGCGGCAAUAUGUUGAUGGCAACACAGGUAUAUUUUUAAUUUAUUGUUUAUGGUUACUUCCGUAUCCUAUACUGUUACAAUAUAACUGCUGUACGGUGCUCUUGUGUUGUGAUAAAUAAAAUACUGUCUCACUGUGAAA
Plutella xylostella (diamondback moth) is the source of this 799-nucleotide non-coding RNA. The record is from RefSeq and is a predicted model, not a curated record. Lineage: Eukaryota; Metazoa; Arthropoda; Insecta; Lepidoptera; Plutellidae.